This 71-nucleotide transfer RNA is filed under the name Ovis aries (sheep). It matches the Rfam family "tRNA". Rfam says of the family: Transfer RNA (tRNA) molecules are approximately 80 nucleotides in length. Their secondary structure includes four short double-helical elements and three loops (D, anti-codon, and T loops). The record is from Rfam by way of RNAcentral. Lineage: Eukaryota; Metazoa; Chordata; Mammalia; Artiodactyla; Bovidae.
CCCCUGGUGUCUCAGUGGUGAAGAAUCUGCCUGCAGUGCAGGAGAUGCAGGUUCUAUCCCUGGCUUGGGAA